RNAcentral lists this unclassified non-coding RNA (403 nucleotides) under soil metagenome. RNAcentral describes it as "partial contains 5.8S ribosomal RNA, internal transcribed spacer 2, and large subunit ribosomal RNA". The stretch from base 1 to 121 matches the Rfam family "5.8S ribosomal RNA", at positions 35 to 154 of the family's 154-position model. The record is from RNAcentral.
GAUGAAGAACGUAGCGAAAUGCGAUAAGUAAUGUGAAUUGCAGAAUUCAGUGAAUCAUCGAAUCUUUGAACGCACCUUGCACCCUUUGGCUAUUCCGAAGGGUAUGCCUGUUUGAGUAUCAUGAACACCUCAACUCUCAUGGCUUGCCAUGAUGAGCUUGGACUUUUGGGGGUCUUGCUGGCCUGUGGUCAGCUCCUCUCAAAUGAAUUAGCCUGCCAGUGUUUGGUGGCAUCACAGGUGUGAUAACUAUCUACGCUUGUGGUUUUCCACCAGGUAACCUUCAGUGAUGAAGGUUCGCUGGGGCUCAUAAACGUCUCUCCUCAGUGAGGACAGCUCUUUGAACGUUUGAUCUCAAAUCAGGUAGGACUACCCGCUGAACUUAAGCAUAUCAAUAAGCGGAGGA